AGCGAACGCUGGCGGCAGGCCUAACACAUGCAAGUCGAACGAACCUUUCGGGGUUAGUGGCGGACGGGUGAGUAACACGUGGGAACGUGCCUUUAGGUUCGGAAUAACUCAGGGAAACUUGUGCUAAUACCGAAUGUGCCCUUCGGGGGAAAGAUUAAUCGCCUUUAGAGCGGCCUGCGUCUGAUUAGCUAGUUGGUUGAGGUAAUGGCUCACCAAGGCGGCGAUCAGUAGCUGGUCUGAGAGGAUGAUCAGCCACAUUGGGACUGUGACACGGCCCGAACUCGUACGGGAGGCAGCAGUGGGGAAUCUUGCGCAAUGGGCGAAGGCCUGACGCAGCCAUGCCGCGUGAAUGAUGAAGGUCUUAGGAUUGUAAAAUUCUUUCACCGGGGACGAUAGUGACGGUACCCGGAGAAGAAGCCCCGGCUAACUUCGUG
This 434-nucleotide ribosomal RNA is filed under the name uncultured bacterium. Its description in RNAcentral is "partial 16S ribosomal RNA". It matches the Rfam family "Bacterial small subunit ribosomal RNA", at positions 29 to 507 of the family's 1533-position model. The record is from RNAcentral.